UUGACUUUUUUGGUUCUUCAUAAAUAUCACUGCCAGGACUUGACUGUUUUUGGGUUCUUCAUAAAUAUCACUGCCAGGACUUGACUGUUUUGGGUUCUUCAUAAAUAUCACUGCCAGGACUUGACUGUUUUUGGGUUCUUCAUAAAUAUCACUGCCAGGACUUGACUGUUUUGGGUUCUUCAUAAAUAUCACUGCCAGAACUUGACUGUUUUGUGUUCUUGAUAAAUAUCACUGCCAGGACUUGACUGUUUUGGGUUCUUCAUAAAUAUCACUGCCAGGACUUGACGUUUUUAGGUUCUUCAUAAAUAUCACUGCCAGGACUUGACGUUUUUAGGUUCUUCAUAAAUAUCACUGCCAGAACUUGAUGUUUUUAGGUUCUUCAUAAAUAUCACUGCCAGGACUUGACUGUUUUGGGUUCUUCAUAAAUAUCACUGCCAGGACUUGACUGUUUUGGGUUCUUCGUAAAUAUCACUGCCAGGACUUGACUGUUUUGGGUUCUUCAUAAAUAUCACUGCCAGGACUUGACUGUUUUGGGUUCUUCAUAAAUAUCACUGCCAGAACUUGACUGUUUUGGGUUCUUCAUAAAUAUCACUGCCAGGACUUGACGUUUUUAGGUUCUUCAUAAAUAUCACUGCCAGGACUUGACGUUUUUAGGUUCUUCAUAAAUAUCACUGCCAGGACUUGAUGUUUUUAGGUUCUUCAUAAAUAUCACUGCCAGGACUUGACGUUUUUAGGUUCUUCAUAAAUAUCACUGCCAGGACUUGACUGUUUUGGGUUCUUCAUAAAUAUCACUGCCAGAACUUGACGUUUUUAGGUUCUUCAUAAAUAUCACUGCCAGGACUUGACUGUUUUGGGUUCUUCAUAAAUAUCACUGCCAGGACUUGACGUUUUUAGGUUCUUCAUAAAUAUCACUGCCAGGACUUGACUGUUUUGGGUUCUUCGUAAAUAUCACUGCCAGGACUUGAGUUUUUUGGGUUCUUCAUAAAUAUCACUGCCAGGACUUGACUGUUUUUAGGUUCUUCAUAAAUAUCACUGCCAGGACUUGACUGUUUUUAGGUUCUUCAUAAAUAUCACUGCCAGGACUUGACUGUUUUUAGGUUCUUCAUAAAUAUCACUGCCAGGACUUGACUGUUUUUAGGUUCUUCAUAAAUAUCACUGCCAGGACUUGACUGUUUUUAGGUUCUUCAUAAAUAUCACUGCCAGGACUUGACUGUUUUUA
This is a long non-coding RNA of Eriocheir sinensis (Chinese mitten crab), 1219 nucleotides long. RefSeq lists it as uncharacterized. The record is from RefSeq and is a predicted model, not a curated record. The transcript is spliced from 5 exons. Lineage: Eukaryota; Metazoa; Arthropoda; Malacostraca; Decapoda; Varunidae.